RNAcentral lists this ribosomal RNA (468 nucleotides) under uncultured bacterium. RNAcentral describes it as "partial 16S ribosomal RNA". It matches the Rfam family "Bacterial small subunit ribosomal RNA", at positions 28 to 507 of the family's 1533-position model. The record is from RNAcentral.
GACGAACGCUGGCGGCGUGCUUAACACAUGCAAGUCGAACGGAAAGGCCCUGCUUUUGUGGGGUGCUCGAGUGGCGAACGGGUGAGUAACACGUGAGUAACCUGCCCUUGACUUUGGGAUAACUUCAGGAAACUGGGGCUAAUACCGGAUAGGAGCUCCUGCUGCAUGGUGGGGGUUGGAAAGUUUCGGCGGUUGGGGAUGGACUCGCGGCUUAUCAGCUUGUUGGUGGGGUAGUGGCUUACCAAGGCUUUGACGGAUAGCCGGCCUGAGAGGGUGACCGGCCACAUUGGGACUGAGAUACGGACCAGACGCCUACGGGAGGCAGCAGUGGGGAAUAUUGCACAAUGGGCGGAAGCCUGAUGCAGCAACGCCGCGUGCGGGAUGACGGCCUUCGGGUUGUAAACCGUUUUCGCCUGUGACGAAGCGUGAGUGACGGUAAUGGGUAAAGAAGCACCGGCUAACUACGUG